AGGAACCUGCAUCACCCAAGGAGAGAGCAGAACUGAAUUCCCGUGACUGGCAUUUGCUACCUUGUUUUUCUUCUGGGAAUUUUAUCUUUAGUGCCCCUUGUAGCAGAUUGGAAAUGUCGAUGUGAAAAAUAAAUAUUUUCAGUCUUGUUUUGGAGGAGGACUAACUUGGUGUGUUGUGUGAGGGUGAGGUAGCGGGCAGGGAGAGGAGAUGCCAAGAAAUCAAGAGAAAAUUUAAUGCUACCAGGGAUCCUGCCACAAGGAAUAAAACACCAUGCAACCCUAGGACAAUGUACAUAGUUGUAUAUUCUAGUUAUGGGUCCUUCUAGUUGUGGCAUGUGGGACACCCCCUCAACGUGGCCUGACAAGUGGUGCCGUGUCCACACCCAGUAUCCAAACCAGCUAAACCCUGAGCUGCCUCAGUGGAGCACUCGAACUUAACCACUCGGCCACGGGGCCAGCCCCUCCUUUUAUUUUGUAAAAUAUUUUAAUUGUGAUUAUUUUAAUAUUACAAUAGUGGUUAUGAAAUAAAAUAACAAAACUAUUUUGUUAAUAAAGAAGAAUUGUGAUUAAUAAAACACAGUCGUUUAUUUUCAAGUAUGUUGAGUCCACUAGUACAGGUCAAUGAUGUAUUUGGGAGGUU
This 640-nucleotide long non-coding RNA is filed under the name Equus caballus (horse). RNAcentral's name for it is "lncRNA (ENSECAG00000046495.1)". Lineage: Eukaryota; Metazoa; Chordata; Mammalia; Perissodactyla; Equidae. The record is from RNAcentral.